ACCAGGUGGUUUUGGCGGGCUAGAUGGGGAAGGGGAAGUUCUCUGAAUGAACCAGCUGGAAAAGCUAAGGCCAGUAUGCUGCUUUUUGGUGGGGAGGAAGAAAUGCUCCAGGAUAUCUAUGUACAAUUAUAUAUGUCUUUAUGAGUGGAAAGAGGCAAGUCUCCAGAGUUACACAUUGUCGGUCAUUGCAGCUGGUCAAGUGGAGGUGUUAAAAUUAGACUGCUGGCUGAAAGACUAUUAGGAAGCCAAUUUAGGUAUUUUACUGUGUUUUAGCAAUUUAAUUCUUAGAGUAACUCUUAUGGGGCUUGCUGUCAAUUAUUUCAAACAGCUUGAAAAAUGCUUCUGCCUAGGGUUAAUACAAUCAACCUGAGAAGAAUUUAAACUGUUGCUUCAGAGCACUUGCAUAAACAUACGUUCCACAUCUACAAUUACAUGUUUUACAGAAUGAAAUUUAUUUUAAGUGCUAUUAAUGGUUUGGAAGGCUUGUACUAGCCUCCUGCAUGCACAGGCUAUUUGACCACAAGUGUCUGAUUCAGAAGGUCUGCAAAACAUCUACUUUGCGUGUUUGCAAGCAGUCCAGGAAUAAAUUGUUUGAUAAUGCUGUUACAAACCUAGGCCAUAUGUGAUAAGUAACAGAAGCCAAGAACAAAUAAGAGUAUUGUGUGUGCUAAGUGAUUGCAAUAGUAGGUAACUUGAUGAGCAAAAUGCACAGAAGUCAUAAAAUUAUGCCUCAUGCUAAAGGCAACUUUGAGCAUCGCAAGGUCUCUUGCCAUCUCAGCACUGAGGGAGAGGAAGCUGUCCUUUGCAGCAUCUGUUGCUUAGCAAUCUGUUUCUCAGGUGUCUUUAGCUGUACGGCAUUGUGAUCAAAGCUUCAAAGGGUUCACAAAAUAAAGGAGUUCAUUAGCCCAUCUUUCAGAAGUAUAACAGGAAAAUGCAGUAGAAAUACAGAUGAUUUCAAACUGUGCUCAAAGUUACUGCACCACCAGAGAGUUAAGCAGAACGGGCUCCUGGUACUGCUGCAUGGACACUGAAACCAGAGAGGCUGCUUGGGCUGAGACAUGUUCUUCCCUUGGGAGGCUCAGCUGAGGCUACAUGAUUUAUUUCUGAAAAACGGAAGCCUGUCUUUUUUGAAAAAAAGUCUCCAAGCUUGAGGAAAGAUCAACUAUUCUUCAGCAAAAGACCAAAUUAUGGCCCAACUCUGUAUUUAGAGACUAAUGAAUGUGGUUACGAUAUAAAGAAAUCGUCUGCACCUUCUAUUCAUCUGGAAAAUGUUUUUCUCAUAUAUUACAGUAUACUACAUAUACUACUACAAGUAUUAUGCACACUGGUUUCCCAACUAGGGGAAAAACAACAGCCACAAUAACUACUGCUGCCCACAGUGAACGUUUUUCAGUCAGGGCAGUGUCAGAGCAUUUCAUGCAAGUGCAAUCAGAAGCAGUCCAGGAAUUCAAAAGACCAGGAAACAGAUAGCUGCGGACAAGGAGAGUAUGGUCUGCCUGAAAUCUAGCUGCUGUCAGGUAAGAAAGAUGGUGAGACUGGAAGGAGGAGGGAAGAGAGAAAAUGCAAUGCGAUGCUGAAAUCAUAUUGUGCUGACCCAAAGAGUGAUUCACUGAGCUCCUCUGUUCUCCAUCAGAGAAAGGAAGUAAUAAUCAGAGAACAUUCAGAAUUUCUGUCCAUGAAAAGGCCCAAGCCAACCAUUCUGCUCUCAUCAUUAUGCUGCUAUAGGAGCUAACUACAGACAGCUCUAGGAAGCAAGUGUUACUGUGGGCAAAAGGAAUGAAAUCUGGUUAAAAUUAACUUUUGAUUCCAUUACUGUGAGGGGAAAAAAAUAGAGAAUUUGACUGUUGUCUAUUUGUCCAGAAUUGUUAUUGCAGAUGUGACUAUGUAGUUACACAUACAGUAGUUAAAGACUCAUAAAUUCUAUUUUGAAGGUCAAAAGUCUCUAAAAUUUAUUAUAGUUUUGAUUGUGAUUUAUAGCUGCAGAGAUAGGAUGUUCUACUCAAGCCAAGGGAAGCUGCCAAAUGCAACCACACUUCGAUAGGCACAAAGUAUCCUUUGGAGGAAUUCCUGGUUUUGCUUUAUCAUAAAACAUCCAUCAAAUUGUAAUCACUUCAUUGUUGCACAAUAAAUAGUUUUUCUAGGUUAAGUAAGCCAGUUCAGUCCUUCUCACCUAAUCUGUCUAAAAUUUACAUAAUGCGACUGACCUUUCUGUGGUUCUCUUAGUUCUCCUUUUUGUUCUCCUCUUUUUCCAAUUGAUCAUGCUCCUAAUGUUCCUUCAUAAUUCAUCACAAAAGUUACUCAUUUUUAUGGGUUUUGUAUUUGGCCUCUAUGAAGUUGGUGUGUGUGUUUGUAUCAGUAUGCAUAUAUAUAACAUACAUAUACACAAGCAGGUAGCUGGAUCACCUUCGCACCUCAUAACAACAGUCCUGAGAGAUUAAGCUCUGUAUGCAAUGAAAUAUUCCUUGUGGUGGAGAAUGGUUUUUCACUUCUUUAGAUCCUAAGGCAUAAUGGCUGUGUUUGCUAGUGGGCCAGCUGACUUGCUAAUUCAUGCUUGGAUGUUUUGCCAACAAGCCUUUGUAUUUUCCAUCACCAACUAAAAACCAGUUCAGUCAAAGCCUGAAACACUUGCACACUUACUGAACAUAAUGAAGUGAUGGUUUUACCAAAAUGCAGUGAAUUACUCUCAGAAUGGCAGCAGACUGUUUCUAGGGAGUAAUAAUCCAAAACUUUAAUUGGGAUGGCUGCUUCUUCAUUGUGAUGAACCCUCAAAAAAAAAAAAAACAAACAACAAAACAAAAAAAAAAACACAAAGCAACAACAACAAACUUUCAAAGUCCAGCUUGCAUUUUGUCAUUAAAAAGCACUACUUAUAUAUUCAAGAAUAUAUUCAAGAAGGCUACUUGUUUGAAUGCUGAUGUAGAUUUUUUUUUUCUUCUAAUAGACAAAACCACAGCUCAUGCUUUAUAGAAAUCCUCUCAUUUGUUGAUGAAGCCAGUACAUGUGAGUAUUUAGCUUGAGCCUUUUUGGUGCUUAGCUGCUGAUACUUCAUGGUAGAACAAGCCAUAUUUGAUAUAUAAAGCUAACUACCCAGUCUCAGGCUCCCUGCCUCUUUCCUGGCAGAGAAACUGCAAAUGCACACAGAGAUGCACAGCUGUAAGAGUCAAACCUAGGUUUAUAUCUCUUCCACUUCUGGGUAAGCCUUCCAGAUUAUGAUAUUAUACCCUCCUUCUAUAGGCAAGGGGAACUCAAAAGUAAUUAGUUCUUAGAGCGUCUUGGUCUGUGUAGUUUUCUGUACUCUUUUGUGUUUUCUUCCUCCAUGAACUGAAGGAAAACUGAUGACAUGAAGAAAGUGUGAAGGAAAUGACCAACAAUUCUAUUCUUGUACUCCAUCACUAAUUUGUAACAAGGACCAUCAUGAAAGUAAUGUUUGAAAUUAAAGACGUAUGAGACACAUUCCCAAUAUUUUCUGAAGUAUGUCCUGCUUUUAAUUAAAAUGUAAAGUAUACAUACUGAAGAACUUGCUUUUCUGCCAGGAGCAGCUGCCUUGUACAACCUUUCCCACCGCGGACAUCAAAUGUCAACUGAAAAAAAUGUUUUGUUCUUGUAUUGAAACUCAUGCAGUUGGAAACUUUAUUGCAAUCAGAAACAUAAUGUAGAAGUAGAGGGCAAUAUUAUGUUUAACGUAUAAUUAGUUUGCAAAAAAAUAUAACCAAGGGACAAGUUUUUGAUAGAAUAACUUCACACAAUAGAUGCAGAAUAAUGGAUCACAUUGAUAGAUCCUUCUUGCUAAACGCCAUGACAAAGUAAAUGAAUAUUUGUAUAAAAACGCUAUAAUAGUUCAAGCUUGAAUUAGAGAGUCUGUAACCUUUGUUUGUGAUCAUAAAUUACAGAGAAAUCCUGCAGGCAAAAUAAAUGCAACACUAAUUAAAACAAAAAAAUAAAUAAAACCACAAAACCACCAACAUUAAAAGCCAACAGAUACAACCCAUCAAAUAGUGAAAAUAUUAUAUUGUGUACCUAACAUUAAUCACUUAAGAUGC
Molecule: long non-coding RNA, 4040 nt
Organism: Anas platyrhynchos (mallard)
Lineage: Eukaryota; Metazoa; Chordata; Aves; Anseriformes; Anatidae
Source: RefSeq, a predicted model, not a curated record